Molecule: ribosomal RNA, 600 nt
Filed under: uncultured bacterium
Lineage: Bacteria
Description: bacterial SSU rRNA
Rfam family: Bacterial small subunit ribosomal RNA
Source: RNAcentral
GCAAUACUUUGAUGAGAGUGGCGCACGGGUGCGUAACGCGUAUGCAACCUACCUUUAACAGGUGAAUAGCCCCGAGAAAUCGGGAUUAAUACACCGUAACAUUGCGCUGUGGCAUCACAGUGCAAUUAAAGAUUUAUCGGUUAAAGAUGGGCAUGCGUGACAUUAGCUAGUUGGUGAGGUAACGGCUCACCAAGGCAACGAUGUCUAGGGGUCCUGAGAGGGUUAUCCCCCACACUGGUACUGAGACACGGACCAGACUCCUACGGGAGGCAGCAGUAAGGAAUAUUGGUCAAUGGGCGACAGCCUGAACCAGCCAUGCCGCGUGCAGGAAGACGGCCCCUAUGGGUUGUAAACUGCUUUUGUCAGAGAAUAAACCUGUCUACGUGUAGACAGCUGAAGGUACCUGAAGAAUAAGCAUCGGCUAACUCCGUGCCAGCAGCCGCGGUAAUACGGAGGAUGCAAGCGUUAUCCGGUUUCAUUGGGUUUAAAGGGUGCGCAGGCGGAUUGCUAAGUCAGGGGUGAAAUCCCACAGCUCAACUGUGGAACUGCCCUUGAUACUGUCAGUCUAGAGUAUAGUUGAAGUUGGCGGAAUGUGUCAUG